UGGGGAAUAUUGCACAAUGGGGGAAACCCUGAUGCAGCGACGCCGCGUGAGGGAAGAAGGCUUUCGGGUUGUAAACCUCUUUUACCAGGGACGAAGAACGUGACGGUACCUGGAGAAAAAGCAACGGCUAACUACGUGCCAGCAGCCGCGGUAAUACGUAGGUUGCAAGCGUUGUCCGGAUUUACUGGGUGUAAAGGGCGUGUAGGCGGAGAUGCAAGUUGGGAGUGAAAUCCCGGGGCUCAACCCCGGAACUGCUUUCAAAACUGCAUCCCUUGAGUAUCGGAGAGGCAAGCGGAAUUCCUAGUGUAGCGGUGAAAUGCGUAGAUAUUAGGAGGAACACCAGUGGCGAAGGCGGCUUGCUGGACGACAACUGACGCUGAGGCGCGAAAGCGUGGGGAGCAAACAGG
This 407-nucleotide ribosomal RNA is filed under the name uncultured prokaryote. Its description in RNAcentral is "bacterial SSU rRNA". It matches the Rfam family "Bacterial small subunit ribosomal RNA", at positions 355 to 776 of the family's 1533-position model. RNAcentral also lists the same sequence under 1 other name. The record is from RNAcentral.